RNAcentral lists this ribosomal RNA (484 nucleotides) under uncultured bacterium. RNAcentral's name for it is "partial 16S ribosomal RNA". It matches the Rfam family "Bacterial small subunit ribosomal RNA", at positions 30 to 507 of the family's 1533-position model. The record is from RNAcentral.
AUUGAACGCUGGCGGCAGGCCUAACACAUGCAAGUCGAGCGGAUGAGGGGAGCUUGCUCCCUGAUUUAGCGGCGGACGGGUGAGUAAUGCCUAGGAAUCUGCCUGGUAGUGGGGGAUAACGUUCCGAAAGGAACGCUAAUACCGCAUACGUCCUACGGGAGAAAGCAGGGGACCUUCGGGCCUUGCGCUAUCAGAUGAGCCUAGGUCGGAUUAGCUAGUUGGUGAGGUAAUGGCUCACCAAGGCGACGAUCCGUAACUGGUCUGAGAGGAUGAUCAGUCACACUGGAACUGAGACACGGUCCAGACUCCUACGGGAGGCAGCAGUGGGGAAUAUUGGACAAUGGGCGAAAGCCUGAUCCAGCCAUGCCGCGUGUGUGAAGAAGGUCUUCGGAUUGUAAAGCACUUUAAGUUGGGAGGAAGGGCUGCUGGUUAAUACCCUGCAGGUUUGACGUUACCAACAGAAUAAGCACCGGCUAACUUCGUG